RNAcentral lists this ribosomal RNA (361 nucleotides) under uncultured bacterium. RNAcentral's name for it is "partial 16S ribosomal RNA". It matches the Rfam family "Bacterial small subunit ribosomal RNA", at positions 338 to 696 of the family's 1533-position model. The record is from RNAcentral.
CCUACGGGAGGCAGCAGUGAGGAAUAUUGGUCAAUGGACGCAAGUCUGAACCAGCCAUGCCGCGUGCAGGAAGACGGCUCUAUGAGUUGUAAACUGCUUUUGUACGAGGGUAAACGCAGAUACGCGUAUCUGUCUGAAAGUAUCGUACGAAUAAGGAUCGGCUAACUCCGUGCCAGCAGCCGCGGUAAUACGGAGGAUUCAAGCGUUAUCCGGAUUUAUUGGGUGUAAAGGGUGCGUAGGCGGUCGGAUAAGGUAGAGGUGAAAUCCCGAGGCUUAACUUCGGAAUUGCCUAUGUGACUGUUCGACUAGAGAGUAGUUGCGGGAGGCGGAAUGUAUGGUGUAGCAGUGAAAUGCUUAGAGA